GACAUAGGUGGCGAACGUUAUCCGGAAUUAUUGGGCGUAAAGGGUGCGUAGAUGGUCUGAUAAGUUGCCGGUGGCAAAUCGAGGCUCAACCUCGUGGAAGCUAGUAAUACUGUUAGACUAAGAGUUCAGGAGAGGUUAACGGAAUUCCCUGUGGAGCGGUAAAAUGCGUAGAGAUAGGGAGGAACAUCAAUAACGGCGAAGGCAGUUAACUAUUCUGUUACUGACAUUGAGGCACGAAAGCGUGGGGAGCAAAACGG
RNAcentral lists this ribosomal RNA (257 nucleotides) under uncultured bacterium. RNAcentral describes it as "partial 16S ribosomal RNA". It matches the Rfam family "Bacterial small subunit ribosomal RNA", at positions 524 to 776 of the family's 1533-position model. The record is from RNAcentral.